This 253-nucleotide ribosomal RNA is filed under the name uncultured bacterium. RNAcentral's name for it is "partial 16S ribosomal RNA". It matches the Rfam family "Bacterial small subunit ribosomal RNA", at positions 524 to 776 of the family's 1533-position model. The record is from RNAcentral.
UACGUAGGCAGCAAGCGUUGUUCGGAGUUACUGGGCGUAAAGAGUGCGUAGGUGGUGCCCUAAGUCUGUUGUGAAAUCUCCCGGCUUAACUGGGAGGGUGCCUCGAAAACUGGCAGGCUUGAGGUGUGGAGAGGGAUGCAGAAUUCCUGGUGUAGCGGUGAAAUGCGUAGAUAUCAGGAGGAAUACCAGUGGCGAAGGCGGCAUCCUGGCCAUAUCCUGACGCUCAGGGGCGAAAGCGUGGGGAGCAAACCGG